This 440-nucleotide ribosomal RNA is filed under the name uncultured Acidobacteriota bacterium. RNAcentral describes it as "uncultured Acidobacteria bacterium partial 16S ribosomal RNA". The record is from RNAcentral. Lineage: Bacteria; Pseudomonadati; Acidobacteriota.
GACUACUGGGGUAUCUAAUCCCGUUUGCUCCCCUAGCUUUCGCGCCUCAGCGUCAGUGUCAGCCUAGCAACCCGUCUUCACCUCAGGUAUUCCUCUUGAUAUCUACGCAUUUCACCGCUACACCAAGAAUUCUGAUUGCCCCUUCUGCACUCUAGUACUGCAGUAUCACUUGGCCGUUCUGAGUUAAGCUCAGAGAUUUCACAAGUGACUUACCGCACCGCCUACGCGCCCUUUACGCCCAGUAAAUCCGAACAACGCUUGGUCCCUACGUAUUACCGCGGCUGCUGGCACGUAGUUAGCCGGACCUUAUAAAUAGUACCGUCAUUAAUUCUUCCUAUUCUUUCGAAGUUUACAUACCGAAAUACUUCAUCCUUCACGCGGCGUUGCUGGGUCAGGCUUUCGCCCAUUGCCCAAAAUUCCCCACUGCAGCCCCCCGUAGG